This 470-nucleotide ribosomal RNA is filed under the name uncultured bacterium. Its description in RNAcentral is "bacterial SSU rRNA". It matches the Rfam family "Bacterial small subunit ribosomal RNA", at positions 47 to 512 of the family's 1533-position model. The record is from RNAcentral.
CUUUACACAUGCAAGUCGAACGGUAACAGGGUGCUUGCACCGCUGACGAGUGGCGAACGGGUGAGUAAUGCGUCGGAACGUGCCGAGUAGUGGGGGAUAACGCAGCGAAAGUUGUGCUAAUACCGCAUACGUACUGAGGUAGAAAGUGGGGGACCUUCGGGCCUCACGCUAUUCGAGCGGCCGACGUCUGAUUAGCUAGUAGGUGAGGUAAAGGCUCACCUAGGCGACGAUCAGUAGCGGGUCUGAGAGGAUGAUCCGCCACACUGGGACUGAGACACGGCCCAGACUCCUACGGGAGGCAGCAGUGGGGAAUUUUGGACAAUGGGCGAAAGCCUGAUCCAGCCAUGCCGCGUGUCUGAAGAAGGCCUUCGGGUUGUAAAGGACUUUUGUCAGGGAGGAAAUCCCUAGUGCUAAUAACACUGGGGGAUGACAGUACCUGAAGAAUAAGCACCGGCUAACUACGUGCCAGC